AAUCAGAAAUUAACUUAAAUAACAUAACCUAACUUAAAAUGACAUUUAGCUGUCAACAAUGUCAAUUAAAUUAGUAAAUUCUCAAAUAGUUAUGAGGUAUUAUUAAAUUCUUUUUGUUUAAAAUAAAAUAAUAAGGCACCGGCGGUCGAAGAAUUUUUUCAAAAAUGUAACGUCACUAAUAAGUAGGAUAUGCGGAGUGUCUAGUUACACACCGGGCUCGGUAAUAAUGGAUACUAACAAUGUGAUACUAAGUUAUCAUGAGAGCUUGCUUCGAAAAUCCGAUGUGGAGUUAUUAAAAGGCCCCUGUUGGUUAAACGACACUGUCAUAUCAUUUUAUUUUGAGUACCUCGAGAUAAACAAGUUUAAAAGCGAUCCCAUGUUAUUGUUCGUCCCGCCACAAGUAACCCAGUGCAUAAAAGUGAGUCCUUCAAACGAAAUCGGCAUCUUCCUUGACCCGCUCAAUUCGCAUAACAAAGAUUUUAUUUUCUUCGCACUCAACGACAACGAACAAACUGAAUGUUCCGGAGGAAGUCAUUGGAGUUUAUUGGUAUUCUCAUAUCCAGAGAGAGCUGUUUAUCAUUACGACUCAUCGCGUGGGAGCAAUCAACACCAAGCUUACGAAUUCGCUAACAAAUUAUUUAAAUUUUACGGCAUGAUUCGACAUGGAAAUUAUAAUGAACCUGAUUGUCUUCAACAAACCAACGGAUAUGAUUGUGGCGUUCAUGUUUUAUGUAACACAGAGAAUAUCGCUAAUUAUGCUUUAAUUAAAAGACGAAUUGAAGGUUGUCCUACGCUCGAUAGACACAAUGUUAGUAGCAAACGUAAUGAAAUUUUGGAUUUAAUCCAUAUACUAAGAAGAAAUAGUAUGAACAACAAAUAAUUAAUUAAUUAAUUUUUGUGAUGAUGUGGUUUAAAAAAAUGGGGUAUUUUUUUUUAUUUAAUAAGCUUUUUUAAUUAAUAAAUGAUUGCAUUAAAAAAGUAAUUUAUUUUUAAAACGUAACCUAACAUUAAUGACACCUGUCAAAAAUAAAUAUUAAAAUUGUGCCUAUUUUAAUCUGAUAAAUAAUAAUUAACCUUGGUUAUUAUUGUUAUUAUGUGGUGCUUAUCGUAAUAAUCAUCUUUAUAUUCAUCCUGUUUGUGCCAUCAAGUAAAUAACGAUUAUUUGUGCCUUAAUCGGAAAUGAGUAAUUUUUAUUAUAAACCAUCUCCUAAUAACAUUUCGAAUCAUUUUUGCUUGGUAACUUCAACAUGAUGGAUAAAGCUUUAUUCUCGUUGGUUAUUCUUGUAAUAAUCUUCCAAAUUUGUCUCUCUAAAAGCAUUUCGGAGGAAAAUCAUCAUUUAAGGAUCGAAAGGGAUGCGCAAGAUUUCCGUGGAGCAUCUCCCCCAAUUCAGCCACCAAAUGGUGUUGAUGGAGUCAUUGGAAUCGCUUGGGAGGUUAUCCAAAAAAUUCCGGGUGUUGGGCGCAAAUAAAAUAAUCUUAUUUAUUAAGUAAUUAGUUAAUAAUAUUAUUAUUGUAUAAUUAUUAUUAUGAAUGUCACAAUAAAACUUUGUUUCAACUCAAAA
RNAcentral lists this unclassified non-coding RNA (1562 nucleotides) under Onthophagus taurus. RNAcentral describes it as "mitochondrial 2-oxoglutarate/malate carrier protein- like, transcript variant X2". Lineage: Eukaryota; Metazoa; Arthropoda; Insecta; Coleoptera; Scarabaeidae. The record is from RNAcentral.